RNAcentral lists this unclassified non-coding RNA (335 nucleotides) under soil metagenome. Its description in RNAcentral is "partial contains 5.8S ribosomal RNA, internal transcribed spacer 2, and large subunit ribosomal RNA". The stretch from base 1 to 120 matches the Rfam family "5.8S ribosomal RNA", at positions 35 to 154 of the family's 154-position model. The record is from RNAcentral.
GAUGAAGAACGUAGUGAAAUGCGAUAAGUAGUGUGAAUUGCAGAAUUCAGUGAAUCAUCGAAUCUUUGAACGCACAUUGCGCCCUUUGGUAUUCCUUAGGGCAUGCCUGUUCGAGCGUCAUUUACACCUUCAAGCCCUGCUUGGUGUUGGGUGCCUGUCCCGCCCCGCGCGUGGACUCACCUCAAAUCCAUUGGCGGCCUCCGCAUGGCCACGAGCGCAGCAGAAACGCAAACUCGUGUGCCGGACCGGGCGGCUCCCAGAAGCUACAUUCACCAUUUUGACCUCGGAUCAGGUAGGGAUACCCGCUGAACUUAAGCAUAUCAAUAAGCGGAGGA